RNAcentral lists this ribosomal RNA (455 nucleotides) under uncultured bacterium. Its description in RNAcentral is "bacterial SSU rRNA". It matches the Rfam family "Bacterial small subunit ribosomal RNA", at positions 340 to 784 of the family's 1533-position model. The record is from RNAcentral.
UACGGAAGGCAGCAGUGGGGAAUAUUGCACAAUGGGCGAAAGCCUGAUGCAGCUAUGCCGCGUGUAUGAAGAAGGCCUUAGGGUUGUAAAGUACUUUCAUCGGGGAGGAAAAAACAAAACUAAUAAUUUUAUUUCUUGACGUUACCCGAAAAAGAAGCACCGGCUAACUCCGUGCCAGCAGCCGCGGUAAUACGGAGGGUGCUAGCGUUAAUCAGAAUUACUGGGCGUAAAGAGCACGUAGGUGGUUUUUUUAAGUCAGAUGUGAAAUCCCUGGGCUUAACCUAGGAACUGCAUUUUGAAACUGAAAUACUAGAGUAUCGUAGAGGGAGGUAGAAUUCUAGGUGUAGCGGUGAAAUGCGUAGAUAUCUGGAGGAAUACCUGUGGCGAAAGCGGCCUCCUAAACGAAUACUGACACUGAGGUGCGAAAGCGUGGGGAGCAAACGAGGGAUUAGGAU